This 1982-nucleotide ribosomal RNA is filed under the name bioreactor metagenome. RNAcentral describes it as "bacterial LSU rRNA". It matches the Rfam family "Bacterial large subunit ribosomal RNA", at positions 650 to 2612 of the family's 2925-position model. The record is from RNAcentral.
GCCGAAGAGGUGGAGCCGUAGCGAAAGCGAGUCUUAAAAGGGCGACAAGUCGCAUGCUGUAGACCCGAAACCGGGCGAUCUAUCCAUGGACAGGGUGAAGCGGGAGUAACGUUCCGUGGAGGCCCGAACCACACUGGUGUUGAAAAACCAGGGGAUGAGCUGUGGAUAGGGGUGAAAAGCCAAUCGAGCUCGGAGAUAGCUGGUUCUCCCCGAAAUAGCUUUAGGGCUAGCCUCGGGGGUUUGUUUGCGGAGGUAGAGCACUGAUUGGGCUAGGGGCCCUGAAAGGUUGCUGACCCCUUUCAAACUCCGAAUGCCGCAAACUUGUACCCCGGGAGUCAGACUGUGGGGGCUAAGCUCCAUAGUCGAGAGGGAAACAGCCCAGAUCGCCAGCUAAGGUCCCUAAUUGACGUCUAAGUGGCAAAGGAUGUGGAGUUGCUCAGACAACCAGGAUGUUGGCUUAGAAGCAGCCAAUCAUUUAAAGAGUGCGUAAUAGCUCACUGGUCGAGUGGAGCCGCGCCGAAAAUGUCCGGGGCUUAAGUCGUCAACCGAAGCUGCGGAACUCAUGUAAAUGGGUUGGUAGGGGAGCGUUGCCUGCUGGUAGAAGCAUGACCGUAAGGACGUGUGGACGGCAGGGAAGUGAGAAUGCCGGUAUGAGUAGCGAAAAGGCAGGUGAGAAUCCUGCCCGCCGAAAGCCUAAGGUUUCCUGAGGAAGGUUCGUCCACUCAGGGUAAGCCGGGACCUAAGCCGAGGCCGAAAGGCGUAGGCGAUGGACAACUGGUUGAAAUUCCAGUGCUGCCUCGAUCACGUUUGAGGGAUGUGGGGACGCAGAAGGGUAGGCUCAGCAGGCUGAUGGAAUAGCCUGUCCAAGCGAGUAGGGUGCCAGGCAGGCAAAUCCGCCUGGCGCAAAGCCUGAGACGCAAGUGGGUGCGGAUACGUCCGCUGAACUGGCCGAUCCCAAGCUGCCAAGAAAAGCCGCUACCGAGUGAUCAGGCACCCGUACCGCAAACCGACACAGGUAGGCGGGGUGAGAAUCCUAAGGCGCGCGAGAGAACCCUCGUUAAGGAACUCGGCAAAAUGACCCCGUAACUUUGGGAGAAGGGGUGCCCCGUCAGGGUGGAAGGCUUCGCGCCUCGAGCCCGAGGGGGUCGCAGAGAAACGGCCCGAGCGACUGUUUACCAAAAACACAGGUCUCUGCUAAGUCGAAAGACGAAGUAUAGGGGCUGACGCCUGCCCAGUGCCGGAAGGUUAAGGAGAAGGCUUAGCGUAAGCAAAGGUCUGAACCGAAGCCCCGGUGAACGGCGGCCGUAACUAUAACGGUCCUAAGGUAGCGAAAUUCCUUGUCGGGUAAGUUCCGACCUGCACGAAUGGCGUAACGACUUGGGCGCUGUCUCAACGAGGGACUCGGCGAAAUUGUAAGUACCCGUGAAGAUACGGGUUACCCACGACAAGACGGAAAGACCCCAUGGAGCUUUACUGUAGCCUGAGAUUGGAUCUUGGCAAAGCAUGUACAGAAUAGGUGGGAGGCUUGGAUACCUGGGCGCUAGUCUAGGUGGAGCCACCAUUGGGAUACCACCCUUGUUUUGCCGGGUUUCUAACCCCGGACCGUGAUCCGGCCAGGGGACAUUCUCUGGUGGGCAGUUUGACUGGGGCGGUCGCCUCCCAAAAGGUAACGGAGGCGCCCAAAGGUUCCCUCAGCGCGGUUGGAACUCGCGCGAAGAGUGUAAGGGCAGAAGGGAGCUUGACUGCGAGAGGUACAUCUCGAGCAGGGACGAAAGUCGGGCUUAGUGAUCAGGUGGUUCUGAGUGGAAGGGCCAUCGCUUAACGGAUAAAAGCUACCCUGGGGAUAACAGGCUUAUCUCCCCCAAGAGUCCACAUCGACGGGGAGGUUUGGCACCUCGAUGUCGGCUCAUCGCAUCCUGGGGCUGAAGUAGGUCCCAAGGGUUGGGCUGUUCGCCCAUUAAAGCGGUACGCGAGCUGGGUUC